This 530-nucleotide ribosomal RNA is filed under the name Paracoccus mutanolyticus. Its description in RNAcentral is "bacterial SSU rRNA". It matches the Rfam family "Bacterial small subunit ribosomal RNA", at positions 239 to 785 of the family's 1533-position model. The record is from RNAcentral. Lineage: Bacteria; Pseudomonadati; Pseudomonadota; Alphaproteobacteria; Rhodobacterales; Paracoccaceae.
GAUUAGGUAGUUGGUGGGGUAAUGCCCUACCAAGCCGACGAUCCAUAGCUGGUUUGAGAGGAUGAUCACCCACACUGGGAUUGAGACACGGCCCAGAUUCCUAGGGGAGGCAGCAGUGGGGAAUCUUAGACAAGGGGGGCAACCCUGAUCUAGCCAUGCCGCGUGAGUGAUGAAGCCCUUAGGGUUGUAAAGCUCUUUCAGCUGGGAAGAUAAUGACGGUACCAGCAGAAGAAGCCCCGGCUAACUCCGUGCCAGCAGCCGCGGUAAUACGGAGGGGGCUAGCGUUGUUCGGAAUUACUGGGCGUAAAGCGCACGUAGGCGGACCGGAAAGUCAGAGGUGAAAUCCCAGGGCUCAACCUUGGAACUGCCUUUGAAACUAUCGGUCUGGAGUUCGAGAGAGGUGAGUGGAAUUCCGAGUGUAGAGGUGAAAUUCGUAGAUAUUCGGAGGAACACCAGUGGCGAAGGCGGCUCACUGGCUCGAUACUGACGCUGAGGUGCGAAAAGCGUGGGGAGCAAACAGGAUUAGAUAC